GUGAAUCAUCAAAUCUUUGAACGCAAAUUGCGCUUCCUGGUAUCCCGGGAAGUAUGCCUGUUUGAGGGUCAUUAUUAACAAAAAAUCGUUUUGGUUGAAAAUGGUGACGUUUCCGGAUUUUGGGCUUUGUUUAAUUUUUUUGGUUAAGGGGCUUAAAAUUGACCUUUUUUGGGCAUUUUAGACGUACAUAAAUUUUUUUUUAUUUGUCUAUUCUAAAUUCCAAAUUUUUAUAAGAUGCAUCA
RNAcentral lists this unclassified non-coding RNA (242 nucleotides) under Glomeromycetes sp. Its description in RNAcentral is "partial contains 5.8S ribosomal RNA and internal transcribed spacer 2". The stretch from base 1 to 71 matches the Rfam family "5.8S ribosomal RNA", at positions 84 to 154 of the family's 154-position model. Lineage: Eukaryota; Fungi; Glomeromycota; Glomeromycetes. The record is from RNAcentral.